AGAACGAACGCUGGCGGCGUGCCUAACACAUGCAAGUCGAACGCGAAAGUCCCGCAAGGGAUGAUUAGAGUGGCAAACGGGUGAGUAACACGUGGGUGACCUGCCUUCGAGUGGGGGAUAACGCUCCGAAAGGGACGCUAAUACCGCAUAACAUCCUGCCUUUUAAGAGGUGGAGAUCAAAGCCUGGGACCGCAAGGCCAGGCGCUUGACGAGGGGCCCGCGUCUGAUUAGCUAGUUGGUGGGGUAAUGGCUCACCAAGGCAACGAUCAGUA
RNAcentral lists this ribosomal RNA (272 nucleotides) under uncultured bacterium. RNAcentral's name for it is "partial small subunit ribosomal RNA". It matches the Rfam family "Bacterial small subunit ribosomal RNA", at positions 26 to 285 of the family's 1533-position model. The record is from RNAcentral.